Molecule: ribosomal RNA, 450 nt
Filed under: uncultured bacterium
Lineage: Bacteria
Description: partial 16S ribosomal RNA
Rfam family: Bacterial small subunit ribosomal RNA
Source: RNAcentral
GUGGGGAAUCUUCCGCAAUGGACGAAAGUCUGACGGAGCAACGCCGCGUGAGUGAUGAAGGUCUUCGGAUUGUAAAGCUCUGUUAAUCGGGACGAAAGAGCCUAGUGUGAAUAAUGCUAGGAAGUGACGGUACCGGAAUAGAAAGCCACGGCUAACUACGUGCCAGCAGCCGCGGUAAUACGUAGGUGGCAAGCGUUGUCCGGAAUUAUUGGGCGUAAAGCGCGCGCAGGCGGAUCUGCCAGUCUGUCUUAAAAGUUCGGGGCUUAACCCCGUGAUGGGAUGGAAACUACAGAUCUAGAGUAUCGGAGAGGAAAGUGGAAUUCCUAGUGUAGCGGUGAAAUGCGUAGAGAUCGGGAGGAACACCAGUGGCGAAGGCGACUUACUGGACUGUAACUGACGCUGAGGCGCGAAAGUGUGGGGAGCAAACAGGAUUAGAAACCCAGGUAGUCC